This 414-nucleotide ribosomal RNA is filed under the name uncultured Glomeromycotina. RNAcentral's name for it is "SSU rRNA". It matches the Rfam family "Eukaryotic small subunit ribosomal RNA", at positions 569 to 985 of the family's 1831-position model. The record is from RNAcentral. Lineage: Eukaryota; Fungi; Glomeromycota.
AGCAGCCGCGGUAAUUCCAGCUCCAAUAGCGUAUAUUAAAGUUGUUGCAGUUAAAAAGCUCGUAGUUGAAUUUCGGGGUCAGUAGGUUGGUCGUGCCACUGGUAUGUACUGGCCUCACUGAUUCCUCCCUCUUGUAGAACCGUAAUGCCAUUAAGUUGGUGUUGCGGGGGAACAGGACUGUUACUUUGAAAAAAUUAGAGUGUUUAAAGCAGGCUAACGCUUGAAUACAUUAGCAUGGAAUAAUGAAAUAGGACGUUCGACCCUAUUUUGUUGGUUUCUAGGAUUGACGUAAUGAUUAAUAGGGAUAGUUGGGGGCAUUAGUAUUCAAUUGUCAGAGGUGAAAUUCUUGGAUUUAUUGAAGACUAACUACUGCGAAAGCAUUUGCCAAGGAUGUUUUCAUUAAUACUAAGAACG